RNAcentral lists this ribosomal RNA (394 nucleotides) under uncultured bacterium. RNAcentral's name for it is "partial 16S ribosomal RNA". It matches the Rfam family "Bacterial small subunit ribosomal RNA", at positions 523 to 918 of the family's 1533-position model. The record is from RNAcentral.
AUACGGAGGAUGCAAGCGUUAUCCGGAUUUAUUGGGUUUAAAGGGUGCGUAGGCGGAUGAUUAAGCGUGAGGUGAAAUGCCACUGCUCAACAGUGGAACUGCCUCGCGAACUGGUUGUCUUGAAUGCUCCUGCCGUGGGAGGAAUGUGUGGUGUAGCGGUGAGAUGCAUAGAGAUCACACAGAACACCGAUUGCGAAGGCAUCUCACGAAGGGGUGAUUGACGCUGAGGCACGAAAGCGUGGGGAUCAAACAGGAUUAGAUACCCUGGUAGUCCAUGCAGUAAACGAUGAUAACUAACCGCUGGGUCGUAGUGAUUCAGUGGCCAAGCGAAAGCGAUAAGUUAUCCACCUGGGGAGUACGACCGCAAGGUUGAAACUCAAAUGAAUUGACGGGG